UUAUAGCUUGCUAUGAAGAAUAAUUAGUGGCAGACGGGUGAGUAAUGCAUAGGAAUCUACCUAGUAGUAUGGGAUAGCCACUAGAAAUGGUGGGUAAUACUGUAUAAUCCCUGCGGGGGAAAGAUUUAUCGCUAUUAGAUGAGCCUAUGUUAGAUUAGCUAGUUGGUAGGGUAAAGGCCUACCAAGGCGAUGAUCUAUAGCUGGUCUGAGAGGAUGAUCAGCCACACUGGAACUGAGAUACGGUCCAGACUCCUACGGGAGGCAGCAGUGGGGAAUAUUGGACAAUGGGCGCAAGCCUGAUCCAGCUAUGCCGCGUGAGUGAGGAAGGCCUUAGGGUUGUAAAACUCUUUCAGUAGGGAAGAUAAUGACGGUACCUACAGAAGAAGUCCCGGCAAACUCCGUGCCAGCAGCCGCGGUAAUACGGAGGGGGCAAGCGUUGUUCGGAAUUAUUGGGCGUAAAGGGCAUGUAGGCGGUUCGGUAAGUUAAAGGUGAAAUGCCAGGGCUUAACCCUGGAGCUGCUUUA
Molecule: ribosomal RNA, 524 nt
Filed under: Anaplasma phagocytophilum
Lineage: Bacteria; Pseudomonadati; Pseudomonadota; Alphaproteobacteria; Rickettsiales; Anaplasmataceae
Description: bacterial SSU rRNA
Rfam family: Bacterial small subunit ribosomal RNA
Source: RNAcentral